Felis catus (domestic cat) is the source of this 2902-nucleotide RNA transcript. RefSeq lists it as uncharacterized. Lineage: Eukaryota; Metazoa; Chordata; Mammalia; Carnivora; Felidae. The transcript has 10 exons. The record is from RefSeq and is a predicted model, not a curated record.
UCUGGUUACAUUUAAAUGGAAAGGCUAGUUGUUUUGAAGAAUUCAUUCAUUGCUUUCCUUAUUCAACAAAUCUACACUUAGGACUUAUUGUGAGCUAAGUCCUGCUCUGCAGUUAGGGGUAGAUCAGAGAACAGAGCCAAGUUCCUGUUUUCAAGAAGCUUAUACAUCUACUAGGGAAGAAAGACACUAAACAAACAGAAAGAUAAUAUGUUGAAUGGCAAAAAAUAAUAUAAAGAAAAAUUAGAGUGUUUGGAAAUUGGAACUGAUGAGAAGAACAUGAGUUGGGCUCUCAAAAAUGGUGAUCAUGGGAGCUUAACAAUUAUGGCCAUAGCCAGAAUAGUCCGGGAGAGACAUUGCUAGCUCUUCCUUAGACCCCAUUGGCACUGGGACUCUGGAAGUUGGCUUCUGCCAGUGUGUGUACAAGUAUACACAUCUGCUUCUAUACUUUGCUCCAGAGUCAGAGUUUGGGCAGGGAAUGGCAGAAUGUAGGUCGCACACCCAGACUUGAACUUUGCAGAGAGAUCAUCUGCUCCUCUGCACCAUUUCUAACGGAAAUGUGACCCUGUCCACCCACCAAUCUUGGGUUUUCCCUAGUUUGGGGAUGUAAUUAUAAAAUUCAGGAUAAAUGAAGUUGAAUUUUAGAUAAAUGCUAGUUAAUGUUUUAGUAUAAGUAUGCUCAAAUUUAAUUGAGUGCCCUGUAGUUGUUUUUGCUAAUUCUGACAACUCUACCCCAAACAGGAAAAGUGUUGUUUGCUGACGGCCCCCAAAAUGACAAAACGCCCAUUCAAAUCCACUAAAGGAGUUGGAUGGAGAGUUUCACCAAGCCACAAAUUUUUGAGCUGAGUAUUGAGCUGGAUCUCAAGAUGAGUAGGAAUUUACCAAGGGAGAAAAAAAAAAAAAAGGAGAGAGAAGAGAGUGCUUCACCAGCAGAGAAAGCAAGCAGCAUGGACCACAGGGUCAUCAAGUGAACACUGAUGAGGCCACAACCGCACUACUGGUCCAAUGCACUGAGACGGCCAUUAGCCCAUCUGGUGAAACUGAAUGUAAGACCAGAAAGGAAUCUCGGAGGUGACAAUCUGAUUGGAAGGAGAAUUACCCACAUUAUUUUCACUUGUCGAAGGAAGAGGAAGUCUAGUAAAGAAACAGAACUGAAAGAGAGACCAAAUGGCCCUUCAUCUUCUGAGUCAUUUCUAUCAUGUUUAUUUCUCCAUUUGCUCAAUUUCUUUGAGUACACAUGAGGCUGAACUCGCAUGUCAUCAGGUUACUCACAGCUGGGCUGACUUGGGGGAUUUUACCUUUGGAUCGGAGCAUACAAAUACUUCCAUCAAUAUUCUAUUUCCCAAAGCUGCCAGACUGAGGUGAGAUGCAGUGUGAACGUGGACCCGGUGCAGCGGAUGUCGGUGCAGCCUCACCAGUCUGGAAGUUUUGUGUGGGCACUCUGCAGCAGAAUCGCCAAAUAAGAGAUACUGAAUAGUUUUGCGAGAAGAACUUGAGAGGAAAGAGGGAAGGUCGUGGCGGUGAGGAGUUUGCCCUUUCUGCAGUUGACAGCGGUGAAUAAAUUACUGGUGAGAUGAACUGGGAAAGGGUCUAGGGUUUUGUGACUGCAGGCAUAUCAAUAUUUGACCCCUGCUUCAUUAGUGUUUCUUCUCUAGGUGGAAGAGAAACGAUUCAUACAUCGGACUUUUUCAUUGUGUACUCAGGAUCAUAAAACAUAUUUGAUAAACAUUUCUGAGACCAAGUUGCUCUGAGAUUGUGUUAUCGUUACUAACUAUUCUUUGUGUAAUAGCAGAACUCGUUUUGUAAGACACAAAUGACCCUAUUCUCCUGGUCUGAAUGGAAGAUGGAGAUUUGCUCGUCACAUCCACCUGUGUAUGUUCUGUAAUUAAUAGACGAAUGCAAUGGUGAUGAAAGGAAUAAGUCUCUGUGUGUCACGACAGCAUCAGCUCUUGAUUUGUUACCAGAUAAAGAGGCAGACAGCCUCCAGUCCUGUUUUUCCUCAUCCACAAGAUGUACUGGCAAGCAAGGCCCAGUGUUUCUAUAUCCUGAUGGGAGAAGGCAAAGGUGGAGCAAUGGAGACUGCAUUUGCCCAUCCACGUUAAAUAACCAAAUCUAGAAAAAUAAUUCAAACAAUGGGUUGCAGAAACAGGACACCAGGCAGCACAGGAUACUGAUCCACAAUAGAGGAGAAACAAACAAGAACCUACAUGGGAAGAAAGUACUCCUUGCUGAACUCACCCGCAAAAGAACAUAUGUGUAAAGAAUUUCUCUAUGUGAAUAAAUAAUUUUGAUAAAACACAUCAUUAAAUGAAGAAUGAGGGCAUCUGGAAUCUUUCAUGUACCUUUUGCUUCUGUGAUGGAUAUUUAGGGGAACAUUUCUCAACGUUGCAGUUAGAACUUCGCAUCUUUGAUUCUUUUGGAUUUGGAAGGUGUCUUCUUUGAUUUCUAUAGAAUGGUCUGGUUUUCAUUUACCAGAAGGUACAGAUAGAAGAAAGAGAAGACUAUUUGGUGAAAAACUACAUGAUUCGUAAUAUUUAGAAGACAAUUUAUUCUGAUCAGCUGAAUAACCCUAAUCAAAAUGUGUGAACUCUGACAUUAUUUUGUUCUCCACUUGGAAAUGAUUUCUGUCCUUGGACCUUGAUCCACAUGUUGCAAAAGAAUAUUUUAAAAAGAGAAUAAUUACCCACCAUGCUUUGUCACAGUGUCCAUUUUUCCCACCAAGGGAAUGGCCACUGCCACCUGAGAACAGAAAAGCUCUCUUAUUUACUAACGACGUCCUUAGUUUUCCUUUGUGUCAUUUUCCCCCUUAUGUAUGUGUUUUUUACACUUCUUUGCCAUCCUGCUGUGAGGAAGAAUAGUAAUCACAUCUAAUUAGAAAAAAUUAAAAUGCUAUGACUCACAGAAA